ACUUAAAUUGAAGAGUUUGAUCAUGGCUCAGAUUGAACGCUGGCGGCAGGCCUAACACAUGCAAGUCGAGCGGUAGCACAGAGAGCUUGCUCUCGGGUGACGAGCGGCGGACGGGUGAGUAAUGUCUGGGAAACUGCCUGAUGGAGGGGGAUAACUACUGGAAACGGUAGCUAAUACCGCAUAACGUCGCAAGACCAAAGUGGGGGACCUUCGGGCCUCAUGCCAUCAGAU
RNAcentral lists this ribosomal RNA (231 nucleotides) under Klebsiella pneumoniae subsp. pneumoniae KPNIH17. Its description in RNAcentral is "partial 16S ribosomal RNA". It matches the Rfam family "Bacterial small subunit ribosomal RNA", at positions 1 to 226 of the family's 1533-position model. The record is from RNAcentral. Lineage: Bacteria; Pseudomonadati; Pseudomonadota; Gammaproteobacteria; Enterobacterales; Enterobacteriaceae.